This 274-nucleotide ribosomal RNA is filed under the name uncultured bacterium. RNAcentral describes it as "partial 16S ribosomal RNA". It matches the Rfam family "Bacterial small subunit ribosomal RNA", at positions 523 to 796 of the family's 1533-position model. The record is from RNAcentral.
AUACGGAGGGUGCAAGCGUUGUUCGGAAUUACUGGGCGUAAAGCGCGCGUAGGCGGUCUGUUAUGUCAGAUGUGAAAGUCCUCGGCUCAACCGGGGAAGUGCAUUUGAAACUGGCAGACUUGAGUACUGGAGGGGGUGGUGGAAUUCCCGGUGUAGAGGUGAAAUUCGUAGAUAGCGGGAGGAAUACCGGUGGCGAAGGCGACCACCUGGCCAGAUACUGACGCUGAGGUGCGAAAGCGUGGGGAGCAAACAGGAUUAGAAACCCCGGUAGUCC